Desulfosporosinus sp. I2 is the source of this 219-nucleotide ribosomal RNA. It matches the Rfam family "Bacterial large subunit ribosomal RNA", at positions 2707 to 2925 of the family's 2925-position model. Lineage: Bacteria; Bacillati; Bacillota; Clostridia; Eubacteriales; Desulfitobacteriaceae. The record is from Rfam.
CCCUGGUGUACCAGUUGUCUCGCCAGAGGCACAGCUGGGUAGCUAUAUUCGGAGCGGAUAAGCGCUGAAAGCAUCUAAGCGCGAAACCGACCUCAAGAUGAGAUUUCCCACAGCGUAAGCUGGUAAGACCCCUGAAAGAUGAUCAGGUUGAUAGGCCAGGUGUGGAAGCGCGGUGACGUGUGGAGCUGACUGGUACUAAUAGGUCGAGGGCUUGACCUA